RNAcentral lists this ribosomal RNA (197 nucleotides) under uncultured bacterium. Its description in RNAcentral is "partial 16S ribosomal RNA". It matches the Rfam family "Bacterial small subunit ribosomal RNA", at positions 1303 to 1500 of the family's 1533-position model. The record is from RNAcentral.
GGCUGAAAUUCGCCUUCAUGAAGCCGGAAUUGCUAGUAAUGGCAGGUCAGCAUACUGCCGUGAAUACGUUCCCGGGCCUUGUACACACCGCCCGUCACACCAUGAGAGUUGGGGAUACCCGAAGCCUGUGAGCUAACUUUUAGAGGCAGCAGUCGAAGGUAGAAUCAAUGAUUGGGGUGAAGUCGUAACAAGGUACC